Molecule: ribosomal RNA, 1458 nt
Filed under: Triticum aestivum (bread wheat)
Lineage: Eukaryota; Viridiplantae; Streptophyta; Magnoliopsida; Poales; Poaceae
Description: partial small subunit ribosomal RNA
Source: RNAcentral
AUGCCCGUCGAAGCCGCGUCAAGCUCGGAUGAGGAGGAGGAGGAGGAGAUGGCCGCCCUCUCCGAUUGGGAGAUGGCGGCGGAGGAGGGGACCGAUUUCUUCACCGAUUGGGCGAUGGAGGGGACCGCCGUCUUCCCCGAUUGGGCGAUGCUGGAUCGCAUCGGCCGCACCCGCUGCCACAAGGACCUAGACGCUGCUCGUCGGGUUGUCAACAAGAACAAGACCGCCGCUCAACUCCGCAUUGACCACGGCCGCUCCUGCUACGUGUCCUUCACCCUCGCGGCUCCUCCAAAAGGGGUCUCCUACCUCAACCUCCACUGGCCGAUGCGAGAAUGCUCCGACACCAAGCCCCCCGCCUAUCCCUUCGUCCGGGCAACCGACAAGGACCUCGUCCUCUUCGACAUCGACAUCCUGAGCCGGAUUUGCGCCCCGUCAGAUCUGUUCGUCUACACGGCCGCCGGUCCUUCCCCCUCGGUGCAGUUGCUCCCCCGGUACACCGAGGACAGGAGGAGGAAAAGGCGGUUGUUCCUGAUGGAUAAAUUCUCCACAGGCAUCCUGCGGCUCUCGGAGAAGCGCUACAUCGUUGCCGACCUCAGUGUCCUGGAUGGUGCACUCUUCGUCUUCGACUCCUCCCAGACUGAAGAGUGGACAAUCAUCCCCAUUAUGCCUGGCCUGAUACGUUGGCACGCACCCAAGCAGAAGCAGAGCAGUGGCAAGCUCCCCAAGCUCUGGUCAACUGACGAUGUGCUCGCUCUCGACGACCGUUUCCUGUGCUGGGUUGACUACUUCAGCGGUGUCCUGCUAUCUGACUUCUCUUCCACUAGAGGUUCCCCGCCCCUCCACUUCGUACCUUUCCCUGGAGAAAAAGAAUACCCUGAAGAGCUACGGGUCUCAAGGCACUUCCCUGGGAGGUUCCGAAGUGUGUCCAUUAGCCAAGGCAAGAUGCGCUUUGUCCACAUUGACAAUGACUUCCAUGAGACAAUCCACGAUGAUGAUGACUCGCCAUGGCAUCAGCUUCCUCGCAUAACAAGCCAAGGGCAGCAGCAUAAGGGUCCCCAAAAAAUCACCAUUUGGACUUUGAACUCCGACAAAUUCAGUUGGGAGCAACAUGCCAUGAUCAACCUGGAUGGUCUAUGGGCGCAACGUUGUUACAAAGCUCUGGACAUACAGCAGCGUCUUCCCGAGUUCCCAGUCGUCAGUGUGGAUGACCCGGAUGUUCUAUGCUGCCUGUUAAGGGAGAAGGAAUUUGGUGGCAAGGGGUGGAUGAGCGUGAUUGACAUGAAGCUUGCGAAACUGCAGGCAUGUACUCAAUAUAUCAAUCGACGGUCCUACUGUGCUGAGUGCAAGGAUGCGGGCUGUGCUGAGUGUGUGGAUGACAAAAACGAUUUCCCUAAUAUGCCCCUACUUCCAACUGUCUUCUCCUCCAAACACCUUGAAAGGCCAACUGGUAACUACUAG